ACCCUGCUGUCUCAAAUGGUAAAGAAUCUGCCUGCAGUGCAGGAGACCUGGGUUUGAUCCCUGGGUUGGGAA
This 72-nucleotide transfer RNA is filed under the name Ovis aries (sheep). It matches the Rfam family "tRNA". From Rfam's summary of the family: Transfer RNA (tRNA) molecules are approximately 80 nucleotides in length. Their secondary structure includes four short double-helical elements and three loops (D, anti-codon, and T loops). Further hydrogen bonds mediate the characteristic L-shaped molecular structure. tRNAs have two regions of fundamental functional importance: the anti-codon, which is responsible for specific mRNA codon recognition, and the 3' end, to which the tRNAs corresponding amino acid is attached (by aminoacyl-tRNA synthetases). tRNAs cope with the degeneracy of the genetic code in two manners: having more than one tRNA (with a specific anti-codon) for a particular amino acid; and 'wobble' base-pairing, i.e. permitting non-standard base-pairing at the 3rd anti-codon position. Lineage: Eukaryota; Metazoa; Chordata; Mammalia; Artiodactyla; Bovidae. The record is from Rfam by way of RNAcentral.